Molecule: non-coding RNA, 94 nt
Organism: Armillaria borealis
Lineage: Eukaryota; Fungi; Basidiomycota; Agaricomycetes; Agaricales; Physalacriaceae
Source: the annotation of a GenBank genome assembly
UCUCUGGUAGUAUAUCGGUUAGUACACGCGCCUGUCAUAAUACCUGUCGCACUGUAUUGCGCGCGAAAGCUGGGUUCGACUCCCAGCCAGAGAG